UACGAAGGGGGCUAGCGUUGCUCGGAAUGACUGGGCGUAAAGGGCGCGUAGGCGGCGUGCACAGUCAGGCGUGAAAUUCCUGGGCUUAACCUGGGGGCUGCGCUUGAUACAUGCAUGCUCGAGUGUGGAAGAGGGUCGUGGAAUUCCCAGUGUAGAGGUGAAAUUCGUAGAUAUUCGCAAGAACACCAGUGGCGAAGGCGGCUCACUGGCCCGGUACUGACGCUGAGGUGCGAAAGCGUGGGGAGCAAACAG
Molecule: ribosomal RNA, 252 nt
Filed under: uncultured bacterium
Lineage: Bacteria
Description: partial 16S ribosomal RNA
Rfam family: Bacterial small subunit ribosomal RNA
Source: RNAcentral